RNAcentral lists this long non-coding RNA (568 nucleotides) under Phoenix dactylifera (date palm). RNAcentral's name for it is "long non-coding RNA (PDAC_LNC021537)". The record is from RNAcentral. Lineage: Eukaryota; Viridiplantae; Streptophyta; Magnoliopsida; Arecales; Arecaceae.
UGUACUCAUUCAAAAGGAUAAAAUGAAUGGCAAGAAGAGUUGAUUGACUAGUUGGCUGCUGGCACAUGAUAUAUUUUGGUCAGAAGAAAGGCUUGACAUAGAUUGUUCAGCAAUCAAUUUCCAGGAGCAACGACAGAGUGAAUAAUGCAAUUUUUGAAAGCAUAAGCCAAUGAAAGGAAAGAACUAUGCCUCGAUUAGAUAAAGGACCAUUGAUUACAGGGUUUUUUUCAUCCCCUUUUGUUUUGGGGAUGCAAGGAGCUUAAAACCAACUACCAAUAGGACGAUCCUACAGCCCUAUUGUCUAGAAAGAAGAGUUUAAAGAAACAAUCUUGGAAUACUAGACUACAAAGAUAACAAUAAUAAAAAUAUCUCCAGAUGUUAUAUUACCAAUUUCCCAAAAAUUUUCACUUGAUUGAAUUUUCAGGAAUAUGUAAGAUCUGGACCAGCUUGAAAACAAUGCUGUAAAGCAAAAAACUAAAAGCGUUUGAACAUUAAUGGCCUAAAAAUCACCAGACAGCCUUUAAGCAUUAACCCUGAAGACAAAGGAAGCCACAUGAUGGCUCUGAUA